UGUCACUGCUGUGGGAAAGGCGGGUUUUGACUCCCAAAGGCGAAGAGGCUGGUCUUUGGUGCGGGUCUGCAGUUAAGAGUCCUGUGAAAGCGAAGGGUGAACAAAGCUGAGGAAGAACGAACUUUGGCAAGGAAAAGGAAAGGAAUGAUUCCCUGAAUUUUGCAUAAGAUGAUUUAAUCUCGUCCAACUGAAUGGGUCUCUCUUGGUUGAUCAAUGCGAUAAAGAAACUCUGCAGUGCCAAGGAAACCCAGGACCUCCUGCAUGCUGGG
This is a long non-coding RNA of Urocitellus parryii (Arctic ground squirrel), 269 nucleotides long. RefSeq lists it as uncharacterized. NCBI's taxonomy places the organism in Eukaryota, Metazoa, Chordata, Mammalia, Rodentia, Sciuridae. The record is from RefSeq and is a predicted model, not a curated record.